CUUUUGAGUACCUUCGUUUCCUCGGCGGGUCCGCCCGCCGAUUGGACAACAUUCAAACCCUUUGCAGUUGCAAUCAGCGUCUGAAAAAACAUAAUAGUUACAACUUUCAACAACGGAUCUCUUGGUUCUGGCAUCGAUGAAGAACGCAGCGAAAUGCGAUAAGUAGUGUGAAUUGCAGAAUUCAGUGAAUCAUCGAAUCUUUGAACGCACAUUGCGCCCCUUGGUAUUCCAUGGGGCAUGCCUGUUCGAGCGUCAUUUGUACCUUCAAGCUCUGCUUGGUGUUGGGUGUUUGUCUCGCCUCUGCGUGUAGACUCGCCUUAAAACAAUUGGCAGCCGGCGUAUUGAUUUCGGAGCGCAGUACAUCUCGCGCUUUGCACUCAUAACGACGACGUCCAAAAGUACAUUUUUACACUCUUGACCUCGGAUCAGGUAGGGAUACCCGCUGAACUU
Molecule: ribosomal RNA, 450 nt
Filed under: Epicoccum nigrum
Lineage: Eukaryota; Fungi; Ascomycota; Dothideomycetes; Pleosporales; Didymellaceae
Description: eukaryotic LSU rRNA
Rfam family: 5.8S ribosomal RNA (bases 102-255)
Source: RNAcentral